Molecule: long non-coding RNA, 1298 nt
Organism: Anolis carolinensis (green anole)
Lineage: Eukaryota; Metazoa; Chordata; Lepidosauria; Squamata; Anolidae
Exons: 2
Source: RefSeq, a predicted model, not a curated record
UUCCCCGGUUCUGGCCUGGUCUUGCCCUUUCCCGGACCUGCCUCCGGCUGCGGGGGCCGCCCGGGGAGCAUCCUCUCCCCCGCCUCCCAAGCUUGGCCUCCUCGGGAAGGAAGGGACCGCGGCGGCGGCAGAAGGGCUAAGCACUCAUCCUACCUGCUGGCAACGCUUGAUUUUGACCUGUAUGAUUGGCCAGAAGCGGACCAUAUUCUCCAGAAGAACUACCCUGCUGGCUGAAGGUAGGACGUUUACCUGUGAAGGGGGGAAAGGCAAAUGUGAACAGAGGUGCUUAUUUGAGAAAUGUUCUCACAGAAGACUAUGCAAUGAAGUAUUUCUGUGCCCUCUUUUCUGAGCCAGCACUCUUUUCUCUGCAGCUGUAGAGAAAUUGGGAACCACCUGUAUGCAGCUGACACUACAGAAAAGGCAACCUUUGGUGCUGGGGGUGGGAAACUUUCAUACAAGCCACAGGACAUCUGCCUUCCCUAAUGGAGUCUUUUCUGUACUUCUAAGCAACCCAAAAUACUUCCUUUUCUCAUUACUUACAUGAUUUCCAAAAUUACUUUGGAAUGCCAUCUUGAUCAACAACACUAUAGAACACAUGAUAAUCUUCCCUGUUAACUGAUAGCCUUUCUCAUAAAUGGUCAUAUCACUGCAUAAUGGCUCUGGGACAACACAAUAUGAUAAUCUAAGCAGAACCAAUUUCAGCAAAUUGGGAAUUAUAUGACAAACUGCAAUCUGACAUCCAAAAUUUAGCAAUAAUGCAGCUCCUAUUGUUCAUCAAAACAAUUGUUGUGAAUAAAUCCUUCUUCCUACCUAAAAUCUUUACAUGGCUAAAAAAAAAGGUCUGCAUGCUCUAUUGAAAGCAAUUCAGAACUUUGGAUAGGUUUUGUUUUUUUUUGUUUUUUUGGGGACGGGGGACGGGGGACGGGGACUAUAAUUCCAAAAAUAAUUGAGAAGCACCGCCAAAUUACAGCAAAGGAAAAGAAAGGAGAUGGCAAGUCAGAGCUGAGUACUUCAGGAAAACAAAGCUUCCAGUGGUUUUACUUACUUAUUAAGGGAUGUAAUCAUUACCGUGGAUACUUUUGUACAUGAUACAGAAUUGAGUACAUUUUAAAUGCAUUUGUUUCCGUUAUGUACCUUGAAAGGGAAGGACCACAGCUGAGAGGCAAAACACAUACUUCUGAAGUUCCAGGUCUUAGUAUCACCACUUAAAAUGAUCAAGAAGCAAAAGAAAAUGGAAAUACAUUUGCCUAAACAUUAAAAAACCCUUUUGGCUUUUGGCUACUAACUGCAUCCUCUAA